This 455-nucleotide ribosomal RNA is filed under the name uncultured bacterium. RNAcentral describes it as "bacterial SSU rRNA". It matches the Rfam family "Bacterial small subunit ribosomal RNA", at positions 340 to 786 of the family's 1533-position model. The record is from RNAcentral.
UACGGGAGGCAGCAGUGGGGAAUAUUGCACAAUGGGCGCAAGCCUGAUGCAGCCAUGCCGCGUGUAUGAAGAAGGCCUUCGGGUUGUAAAGUACUUUCAGUCGUGAGGAAGGUGUUAAGGUUAAUAACCUUAGCAAUUGACGUUAGCGACAGAAGAAGCACCGGCUAACUCCGUGCCAGCAGCCGCGGUAAUACGGAGGGUGCGAGCGUUAAUUGGAAUUACUGGGCGUAAAGGGCACGCAGGCGGUUAAUUAAGUUGGAUGUGAAAUCCCCGGGCUUAACCUGGGAAUGGCAUUCAAGACUGGUUAGCUAGAGUCUUGUAGAGGGGGUAGAAUUCCGAUGUGUAGCGGUGAAAUGCGUAGAGAUGUGGAGGAAUACCGGUGGCGAAGGCGGCCCCUGGACAAAGACUGACGCUCAUGUGCGAAAGCGUGGGGAGCAAACGAGGGAUUAGAUACC